GGAGGGUGCAAGCGUUGUUCGGAAUUAUCGGGCGUAAAGCGCGUGUAGGCGGUUAGGUAAGUCAGAUGUGAAAGCCUUCUGCUUAACAGAAGAAGUGCAUUUGAAACUGCCUGGCUAGAGUACGGGAGAGGAGAGUGGAAUUCCCGGUGUAGAGGUGAAAUUCGUAGAUAUCGGGAGGAACACCAGUGGCGAAGGCGGCUCUCUGGUCCGAUACUGACGCUGAGACGCGAAAGCGUGGGGAGCAAACAGGAUUAGAUACCCUGGUAGUCCACGCCGUAAACGAUGGGCACUAGGUGUAGGAGGUAUUGACCCCUUCUGUGCCGAAGCUAACGCAUUAAGUGCCCCGCCUGGGGAGUACGGCCGCAAGGCUA
RNAcentral lists this ribosomal RNA (371 nucleotides) under uncultured bacterium. RNAcentral's name for it is "bacterial SSU rRNA". It matches the Rfam family "Bacterial small subunit ribosomal RNA", at positions 527 to 896 of the family's 1533-position model. The record is from RNAcentral.